CAGUCAUUGCGCAGGCACUUUGGUGACUCUAGAUAACCUUGGGCCGAUCACACGUCCCAGUGACGGCGACAACGCAUUCGGAUUUCUGCCCUAUCAACUUUCGAUGUUACUUUCUGCGCCUACCAUGAGGAAUAACGGUGAAUCAGGGUUCGAUUCCGGAAAGGAAGCCAGAGAAACGGCUACCACAUCCAAAGAAAGCAGCAGGCAUGCAAAUUACCCACUCCCAACGCGGGGAGGUAGUGA
Pelobates cultripes (western spadefoot toad) is the source of this 243-nucleotide non-coding RNA. The record is from the annotation of a GenBank genome assembly. NCBI's taxonomy places the organism in Eukaryota, Metazoa, Chordata, Amphibia, Anura, Pelobatidae.